Molecule: ribosomal RNA, 468 nt
Filed under: uncultured bacterium
Lineage: Bacteria
Description: partial 16S ribosomal RNA
Rfam family: Bacterial small subunit ribosomal RNA
Source: RNAcentral
GACGAACGCUGGCGGCGUGCUUAACACAUGCAAGUCGAACGGAAAGGCCCUGCUUUUGUGGGGUGCUCGAGUGGCGAACGGGUGAGUAACACGUGAGUAACCUGCCCUUGACUUUGGGAUAACUUCAGGAAACUGGGGCUAAUACCGGAUAGGAGCUCCUGCUGCAUGGUGGGGGUUGGAAAGUUUCGGCGGUUGGGGAUGGACUCGCGGCUUAUCAGCUUGUUGGUGGGGUAGUGGCUUACCAAGGCUUUGACGGGUAGCCGGCCUGAGAGGGUGACCGGCCACAUUGGGACUGAGAUACGACCCAGACUCCUACUGGAGGCAGCAGUGUUGAAUAUUACACAAUGGGCGGAAGCCUGAUGCAGCAACGCCGCGUGCGGGAUGACGGCCUUCGGGUUGUAAACCGCUUUCGCCUGUGACGAAGCGUGAGUGACGGUAAUGGGUAAAGAAGCACCGGCUAACUACGUG